GGGAGGUAGUGACAAUAAAUAACAAUACGGGGUUCUUCGAAUCUCGUAAUUGGAAUGAGUACAAUUUAAAUCUCUUAACGAGGAACAAUUGGAGGGCAAGUCUGGUGCCAGCAGCCGCGGUAAUUCCAGCUCCAAUAGCGUAUAUUAAAGUUGUUGCAGUUAAAAAGCUCGUAGUUGAAUUUCGGGGUUAGUAGGUUGGUCGUACCACUGGUAUGUACCGGCUUUACUGAUUCCUCCUUCUUGAAGAACUGUAAUGCCAUUUAUUUGGUGCUGCAGGGAAUCAGGACUUGUUACUUUGAAAAAUUAGAGUGUUUAAAGCAGGCUAGCGCCUGAAUACAUUAGCAUGGAAUAAUGAAAUAGGACGUUCGAACCUAUUUUGUUGGUUUCUAGGAUUGACGUAAUGAUUAAUAGGGAUAGUUGGG
This 422-nucleotide ribosomal RNA is filed under the name uncultured Glomeraceae. RNAcentral's name for it is "SSU rRNA". It matches the Rfam family "Eukaryotic small subunit ribosomal RNA", at positions 459 to 886 of the family's 1831-position model. Lineage: Eukaryota; Fungi; Glomeromycota; Glomeromycetes; Glomerales; Glomeraceae. The record is from RNAcentral.